Molecule: long non-coding RNA, 835 nt
Filed under: Sorghum bicolor (sorghum)
Lineage: Eukaryota; Viridiplantae; Streptophyta; Magnoliopsida; Poales; Poaceae
Description: long non-coding RNA (SBIC_LNC017031)
Source: RNAcentral
ACAAAAAUUAACGUCUGUUUUUAUAUAUGGAAGCGAUAAAACCAAGUACAAGUAAUGCCAGUGAUUUCAACAAACAAAAACAGAAGAGUUCAUGAUAGUAUAACAAAACACUCAUCAUCCCUGCUGGCUCAUCUCUGCACCGGACCAUUGGAACCAGCACUGAUAGGCAACAAGGCAUCGCUACCGGUAGCAAAACUAAACUAGCAUGGACAUGGGACGCUUUGGAAAUUAGUAAUUGAAUUACAGUUUGUUUAUUUUUUUAAUCUGUACACAUUAACUUGUGGCUUCUGAUGAGAUAUAAAAUUUUCUAGUUGAUUCUUUUGAUUAGAAGCUGUCUAGAUGCCAAAUAUUUGAUCAAGUUUCAGAUAUGAGGAUAGAGAGGGGAAAAAAUGCAAGAAAACUUUACCGUGACGCAUGAGGUGGUUGGUUACAGACUAGCAAAGAUGAGUAUUCUGUAGUAUGUAUAACACUGAUAUAUCCGGAUGAGGGCCAAGACAUUGUUGUCAAUUUCUACGGGAUGCAAAAACAUUUUUGUACAGGUAGUUUAAAUAUUUAUGUCAAAAACAUGAAGUUAAAAAAUCUUUACCUCCACAAUUAUCCUAACAAUGACAAACUCUGCAGUUAAAAAAAAAAAGAAAUGAAUCGCCAGCAUAUGGCUUCUGGUGCAGGGUUGGCAGUUUGGGCCGGAGACCUUGCAACAAAGCAUGCUUACACAGAUUUUUCCGUUUGAUGCUAAACUGUACCAACCAAUUUGCUCCCACACUUUGGGAAUGAUAAUAUAUUAUCAGUCAUGAGGGCCGGAAGACCCCUACCACACGCAGAAUAAAAAUACCCC